CAAACUCUCUUAACUGAUAUUCAAGAGAAAAGGAUUCUAGAAAGAUUCAUAGAAUUAGAAGAACUUUCUCUCUUGGGCGAGAUGAUAAAAGGGAAACUAAAGACACAUGUACAAAAACCUCCUACAAGAAUACACAAGGAAAUAAUACAAUGGAUGAAAAUAAAUAAUGAGGAUCAUCUCCAUACCAUUUUGCAUUUCUCGACAAAUAUAAUCUGUUUGGCUAUUCUAAGUGGUUCUUUUUUUCUGGUAAAGAGGAACUUGUCAUUUUUGAAUUAA
Molecule: ribosomal RNA, 276 nt
Filed under: Triticum aestivum (bread wheat)
Lineage: Eukaryota; Viridiplantae; Streptophyta; Magnoliopsida; Poales; Poaceae
Description: partial small subunit ribosomal RNA
Source: RNAcentral